RNAcentral lists this transfer RNA (71 nucleotides) under Lichenostomus cassidix (helmeted honeyeater). Its description in RNAcentral is "tRNA-Ile". The record is from RNAcentral. Lineage: Eukaryota; Metazoa; Chordata; Aves; Passeriformes; Meliphagidae.
GGAAAUGUGCCUGAGAUUUAAGGGUCACUAUGAUAAAGUGGACACAGAGGCUACCAACCCUCUCAUUUCCU